GAUGAACGCUGGCGGCGUGCCUAAUACAUGCAAGUCGAGCGAACAGAUGAGGAGCUUGCUCCUCUGACGUUAGCGGCGGACGGGUGAGUAACACGUGGAUAACCUACCUAUAAGACUGGGAUAACUUCGGGAAACCGGAGCUAAUACCGGAUAAUAUAUUGAACCGCAUGGUUCAAUAGUGAAAGACGGUUUUGCGGUCACGUAUAGAUGGAUCCGCGCCGCAUUAGCUAGUUGGUAAGGUAACGGCUUACCAAGGCAACGAUGCGUAGCCGACGUGAGAGGGUGAUCGGCGACCCUGGAACUGAGACACGGUCCAGACUCCUGCGGGAGGCAGCAGAAGGGAAUCUUCCGCAAUGGGCGAAAGCCUGACGGAGCAACGCCGCGUGAGUGAUGAAGGUCUUCGGAUCGUAAAACUCUGUUAUUAGGGAAGAACAAAUGUGUAAGUAACUAUGCACGUCUUGACGGUACCUAAUCAGAAAGCCACGGCUAACUACGUG
This 497-nucleotide ribosomal RNA is filed under the name uncultured bacterium. RNAcentral describes it as "partial 16S ribosomal RNA". It matches the Rfam family "Bacterial small subunit ribosomal RNA", at positions 28 to 507 of the family's 1533-position model. The record is from RNAcentral.